ACAUGCAAGUCGAGGGGCAGCAUGAUUGAAGCUUGCUUCAAUUGAUGGCGACCGGCGCACGGGUGAGUAACGCGUAUCCAACCUUCCGUACACUCAGGGAUAGCCUUUCGAAAGAAAGAUUAAUACCUGAUGGUAUGAUGAGAUUGCAUGAUAGCAUCAUUAAAGAUUUAUCGGUGUACGAUGGGGAUGCGUUCCAUUAGGUAGUAGGCGGGGUAACGGCCCACCUAGCCUACGAUGGAUAGGGGUUCUGAGAGGAAGGUCCCCCACAUUGGAACUGAGACACGGUCCAAACUCCUACGGGAGGCAGCAGUGAGGAAUAUUGGUCAAUGGACGAGAGUCUGAACCAGCCAAGUAGCGUGAAGGAUGAAGGUCUUACGGAUUGUAAACUUCUUUUAUAAGGGAAUAAAACCUCCCACGUGUGGGAGCUUGUAUGUACCUUAUGAAUAAGCAUCGGCUAACUCCGUGCCAGCAGCCGCGGUAAUACGGAGGAUGCGAGCGUUAUCCGGAUUUAUUGGGUUUAAAGGGAGCGCAGACGGGUCGUUAAGUCAGCUGUGAAAGUUUGGGGCUCAACCUUAAAAUUGCAGUUGAUACUGGCGUCCUUGAGUGCGGUUGAGGUGUGCGGAAUUCGUGGUGUAGCGGUGAAACGCUUAGAUAUCACGAAGAACUCCGAUUGCGAAGGCAGCACACUAAGCCGUAACUGACGUUCAUGCCCGAAAGUGUGGGUAUCAAACAGGAUUAGAUACCCUGGUAGUCCACACGGUAAACGAUGGAUACUCGCUGUUGGCGAUAUACGGUCAGCGGCUUAGCGAAAGCGUUAAGUAUCCCACCUGGGGAGUACGCCGGCACGGUGAAACUCAGAGGAAUUGACGGGGGCCCG
This 877-nucleotide ribosomal RNA is filed under the name uncultured bacterium. RNAcentral describes it as "bacterial SSU rRNA". It matches the Rfam family "Bacterial small subunit ribosomal RNA", at positions 53 to 923 of the family's 1533-position model. The record is from RNAcentral.